GAGUUUGAUCAUGGCUCAGAUUGAACGCUGGCGGCAGGCCUAACACAUGCAAGUCGAACGGUAACAGAAAGAAGCUUGCUUCUUUGCUGACGAGUGGCGGACGGGUGAGUAAUGUCUGGGAAACUGCCUGAUGGAGGGGGAUAACUACUGGAAACGGUAGCUAAUACCGCAUAACGUCGCAAGACCAAAGAGGGGGACCUUCGGGCCUCUUGCCAUCGGAUGUGCCCAGAUGGGAUUAGCUUGUUGGUGGGGUAACGGCUCACCAAGGCGACGAUCCCUAGCUGGUCUGAGAGGAUGACCAGCCACACUGGAACUGAGACACGGUCCAGACUCCUACGGGAGGCAGCAGUGGGGAAUAUUGCACAAUGGGCGCAAGCCUGAUGCAGCCAUGCCGCGUGUAUGAAGAAGGCCUUCGGGUUGUAAAGUACUUUCAGCGGGGAGGAAGGGAGUAAAGUUAAUACCUUUGCUCAUUGACGUUACCCGCAGAAGAAGCACCGGCUAACUCCGUGCCAGCAGCCGCGGUAAUACGGAGGGUGCAAGCGUUAAUCGGAAUUACUGGGCGUAAAGCGCACGCAGGCGGUUUGUUAAGUCAGAUGUGAAAUCCCCGGGCUCAACCUGGGAACUGCAUCUGAUACUGGCAAGCUUGAGUCUCGUAGAGGGGGGUAGAAUUCCAGGUGUAGCGGUGAAAUGCGUAGAGAUCUGGAGGAAUACCGGUGGCGAAGGCGGCCCCCUGGACGAAGACUGACGCUCAGGUGCGAAAGCGUGGGGAGCAAACAGGAUUAGAUACCCUGGUAGUCCACGCCGUAAACGAUGUCGACUUGGAGGUUGUGCCCUUGAGGCGUGGCUUCCGGAGCUAACGCGUUAAGUCGACCGCCUGGGGAGUACGGCCGCAAGGUUAAAACUCAAAUGAAUUGACGGGGGCCCGCACAAGCGGUGGAGCAUGUGGUUUAAUUCGAUGCAACGCGAAGAACCUUACCUGGUCUUGACAUCCACGGAAGUUUUCAGAGAUGAGAAUGUGCCUUCGGGAACCGUGAGACAGGUGCUGCAUGGCUGUCGUCAGCUCGUGUUGUGAAAUGUUGGGUUAAGUCCCGCAACGAGCGCAACCCUUAUCCUUUGUUGCCAGCGGUCCGGCCGGGAACUCAAAGGAGACUGCCAGUGAUAAACUGGAGGAAGGUGGGGAUGACGUCAAGUCAUCAUGGCCCUUACGACCAGGGCUACACACGUGCUACAAUGGCGCAUACAAAGAGAAGCGACCUCGCGAGAGCAAGCGGACCUCAUAAAGUGCGUCGUAGUCCGGAUUGGAGUCUGCAACUCGACUCCAUGAAGUCGGAAUCGCUAGUAAUCGUGGAUCAGAAUGCCACGGUGAAUACGUUCCCGGGCCUUGUACACACCGCCCGUCACACCAUGGGAGUGGGUUGCAAAAGAAGUAGGUAGCUUAACCUUCGGGAGGGCGCUUACCACUUUGUGAUUCAUGACUGGGGUGAAGUCGUAACAAGGUAACCGUAGGGGAACCUGCGGUUGGAUCACC
Molecule: ribosomal RNA, 1528 nt
Filed under: Escherichia coli 2-222-05_S1_C3
Lineage: Bacteria; Pseudomonadati; Pseudomonadota; Gammaproteobacteria; Enterobacterales; Enterobacteriaceae
Description: bacterial SSU rRNA
Rfam family: Bacterial small subunit ribosomal RNA
Source: RNAcentral